CAGCUAGUUGGUGAGGUAACGGCUCACCAAGGCGACGAUCAGUAGCUGGUCUGAGAGGAUGAUCAGCCACAUUGGGACUGAGACACGGCCCAAACUCCUACGGGAGGCAGCAGUGGGGAAUAUUGGACAAUGGGCGCAAGCCUGAUCCAGCCAUGCCGCGUGAGUGAUGAAGGCCCUAGGGUUGUAAAGCUCUUUUGUGCGGGAAGAUAAUGACGGUACCGCAAGAAUAAGCCCCGGCUAACUUCGUGCCAGCAGCCGCGGUAAUACGAAGGGGGCUAGCGUUGCUCGGAAUCACUGGGCGUAAAGGGUGCGUAGGCGGGUCUUUAAGUCAGAGGUGAAAUCCUGGAGCUCAACUCCAGAACUGCCUUUGAUACUGAGGAUCUUGAGUUCGGGAGAGGUGAGUGGAACUGCGAGUGUAGAGGUGAAAUUCGUAGAUAUUCGCAAGAACACCAGUGGCGAAGGCGGCUCACUGGCCCGAUACUGACGCUGAGGCACGAAAGCGUGGGGAGCAAACAGGAUUAGAUACCCUGGUAGUCCACGCCGUAACGAUGAAUGCCAGCCGUUAGUGGGUUUACUCACUAGUGGCGCAGCUAACGCUUUAAGCAUUCCGCCUGGGGAGUACGGUCGCAAGAUUAAAACUCAAAGGAAUUGACGG
Molecule: ribosomal RNA, 655 nt
Filed under: uncultured Alphaproteobacteria bacterium
Lineage: Bacteria; Pseudomonadati; Pseudomonadota; Alphaproteobacteria
Description: SSU rRNA
Rfam family: Bacterial small subunit ribosomal RNA
Source: RNAcentral